Molecule: non-coding RNA, 67 nt
Filed under: Ethanoligenens harbinense
Lineage: Bacteria; Bacillati; Bacillota; Clostridia; Eubacteriales; Oscillospiraceae
Also listed under: 1 other name
Source: RNAcentral
AGCCGAAACGGGGCUGCGGCCCCGUCCGCUGGGGAUGGCCUCCCCGCGCUGAUGAUGGCAGGCCAAC